GAUGAACGCUGGCGGCGUGCCUAAUACAUGCAAGUCGAGCGAACAGAUGAGGAGCUUGCUCCUCUGACGUUAGCGGCGGACGGGUGAGUAACACGUGGAUAACCUACCUAUAAGACUGGGAUAACUUCGGGAAACCGGAGCUAAUACCGGAUAAUAUAUUGAACCGCAUGGUUCAAUAGUGAAAGACGGUUUUGCUGUCACUUAUAGAUGGAUCCGCGCCGCAUUAGCUAGUUGGUAAGGUAACGGCUUACCAAGGCAACGAUGCGUAGCCGACCUGAGAGGGUGAUCGGCCACCCUGGAACUGGAACACGGUCCAGACUCCUACGGGAGGCAGCAGUAGGGAAUCUUCCGCAAUGGGCGAAAGCUUGACGGAGCAACGCCGCGUGAGUGAUGAAGGUCUUCGGAUCGUAAAACUCUGUUAUUAGGGAAGAACAAAUGUGUAAGUAACUAUGCACGUCUUGACGGUACCUAAUCAGAAAGCCACGGCUAACUACGUG
Molecule: ribosomal RNA, 497 nt
Filed under: uncultured bacterium
Lineage: Bacteria
Description: partial 16S ribosomal RNA
Rfam family: Bacterial small subunit ribosomal RNA
Source: RNAcentral